RNAcentral lists this non-coding RNA (23 nucleotides) under Cricetulus griseus (Chinese hamster). Lineage: Eukaryota; Metazoa; Chordata; Mammalia; Rodentia; Cricetidae. The record is from RNAcentral.
AAAGGGCUGUAACCACUAAAGGC